This 459-nucleotide ribosomal RNA is filed under the name uncultured bacterium. RNAcentral's name for it is "partial 16S ribosomal RNA". It matches the Rfam family "Bacterial small subunit ribosomal RNA", at positions 338 to 795 of the family's 1533-position model. The record is from RNAcentral.
CCUACGGGUGGCAGCAGUGAGGAAUAUUGGUCAAUGGCCGAGAGGCUGAACCAGCCAAGUCGCGUGAGGGAAGACGGCCCUACGGGUUGUAAACCUCUUUUGUCUGGGAGCAAAGCUACCCACGUGUGGUUCAUUGAGAGUACCCGAAGAAAAAGCAUCGGCUAACUCCGUGCCAGCAGCCGCGGUAAUACGGAGGAUGCGAGCGUUAUCCGGAUUUAUUGGGUUUAAAGGGUGCGCAGGCGGAGGUGCAAGUCAGCGGUCAAAUUGCGGGGCUCAACCCCGUACUGCCGUUGAAACUGCAUCACGUGAGUGCGCGAGAAGUAUGCGGAAUGCGUGGUGUAGCGGUGAAAUGCAUAGAUAUCACGCAGAACUCCGAUUGCGAAGGCAGCAUACCGGCGCGCAACUGACGCUCAUGCACGAAAGCGUGGGUAUCGAACAGGAUUAGAUACCCGGGUAGUC